Octopus sinensis (East Asian common octopus) is the source of this 161-nucleotide long non-coding RNA. RefSeq lists it as uncharacterized. Lineage: Eukaryota; Metazoa; Mollusca; Cephalopoda; Octopoda; Octopodidae. The transcript is spliced from 3 exons. The record is from RefSeq and is a predicted model, not a curated record.
AACAAAACAGCUUGCUUGUGAAAUCAAUGUGUAAGUGUCUGGGUAUUCCACAGACAUGUGUACCCUUAACAUAGUUCUUGGAGAGAUUCAGCGUGCACAGAAUGUGACAAAGUUGGCUCUUUGAACUAUAGGUGCCAUUCAUUUUUGCCAGCUGAGUAGAA